CCUACGGGUGGCAGCAGUGGGGAAUAUUGGACAAUGGGCGAAAGCCUGAUCCAGCCAUGCCGCGUGUGUGAAGAAGGCCUUCGGGUUGUAAAGCACUUUCAGUGGGGAAGAAAGCCUUGGGGCUAAUACCCUCGAGGAAGGACAUCACCCACAGAAGAAGCACCGGCUAACUCCGUGCCACAGCCGCGGUAAUACGGAGGGUGCGAGCGUUAAUCGGAAUUACUGGGCGUAAAGCGCGCGUAGGCGGUCUGAUAAGCCGGUUGUGAAAGCCCCGGGCUCAACCUGGGAACGGCAUCCGGAACUGUCAGGCUAGAGUGCAGGAGAGGAAGGGAGAAUUCCCGGUGUAGCGGUGAAAUGCGUAGAGAUCGGGAGGAAUACCAGUGGCGAAGGCGGCCUUCUGGACUGACACUGACGCUGAGGUGCGAAAGCGUGGGUAGCAAACAGGAUUAGAUACCCCGGUAGUC
Molecule: ribosomal RNA, 464 nt
Filed under: Vreelandella stevensii
Lineage: Bacteria; Pseudomonadati; Pseudomonadota; Gammaproteobacteria; Oceanospirillales; Halomonadaceae
Description: partial 16S ribosomal RNA
Rfam family: Bacterial small subunit ribosomal RNA
Source: RNAcentral